RNAcentral lists this ribosomal RNA (253 nucleotides) under uncultured bacterium. RNAcentral's name for it is "partial 16S ribosomal RNA". It matches the Rfam family "Bacterial small subunit ribosomal RNA", at positions 524 to 776 of the family's 1533-position model. The record is from RNAcentral.
GACGAACCGUGCAAACGUUAUUCGGAAUCACUGGGCUUAAAGGGCGCGUAGGCGGAACGGCGCGUCGGCGUUGAAAUCCCCCGGCUCAACCGGGGAAGCGGCGUCGAAACGGCCGUUCUGGAGGGGCGUAGAGGGACUCGGAACUUCCGGUGGAGCGGUGAUAUGCGUUGAGAUCGGAAGGAACGCCCGUGGCGAAAGCGGAGUCCUGGACGCUUACUGACGCUGAGGCGCGAAAGCCAGGGGAGCAAACGGG